This 674-nucleotide ribosomal RNA is filed under the name uncultured metazoan. RNAcentral's name for it is "SSU rRNA". It matches the Rfam family "Eukaryotic small subunit ribosomal RNA", at positions 582 to 1257 of the family's 1831-position model. Lineage: Eukaryota; Metazoa. The record is from RNAcentral.
AUUCCAGCUCCAAUAGCGUAUAUUAAAGUUGUUGCGGUUAAAAAGCUCGUAGUUGGAUCUCGGCAGGUAGGGGGCGGUUCGUUUCUGACGGCACUGCCCCAUUUACCUGUGUUUUUGCAAGAGGUCUCAAGGUGGCUUUAAUCGGCUGUCUUGGAACGCUUGCAGUUUUACUUUGAAAAAAUUAGAGUGCUCAAAGCAGGCUACAAAGCUUGAAUAUUUGUGCAUGGAAUAAUGGAAUAGGAAGUCGUUUCUAUUUUUUUGGUUUUCGGAAAUUGACUUAAUGAUUAAUAGGGACAGCCGGGGGCAUUAGUACUCAGACGACAGAGGUGAAAUUCUUGGACCGUUUGAGGACUAACUACUGCGAAAGCAUUUGCCAAGAGUGUUUUCAUUAAUCAAGAACGAAAGUUAGAGGUUCGAAGGCGAUCAGAUACCGCCCUAGUUCUAACCAUAAACAAUGCUGACUAGCGAUCCGUAGCUGUUUUCUAUGUAGGCUCUACGGGAAGCUUCCGGGAAACCAAAGUUUUUGAGUUCCGGGGGAAGUAUGGUUGCAAAGCUGAAACUUAAAGGAAUUGACGGAAGGGCACCACCAGGAGUGGAGCCUGCGGCUUAAUUUGACUCAACACGGGAAAUCUCACCAGGCCCGGACACUGGAAGGAUUGACAGAUUGAGAGCUC